Long non-coding RNA from Osmerus eperlanus (European smelt), 1378 nucleotides. RefSeq lists it as uncharacterized. The record is from RefSeq and is a predicted model, not a curated record. Lineage: Eukaryota; Metazoa; Chordata; Actinopteri; Osmeriformes; Osmeridae. The transcript is spliced from 3 exons.
AACACCCACAACUACCACACAAGCACCCACAUCUACCACAGAAGCACCCACAACUACCACACAAACUCCCACAACUACCACAGAAACACCCACAACUACCACACAAGCACCCACAACUACCACACAAGCACCCACAACUACCACUGAAAAACCCACAACUACCACAUCAACACCCACAACUACAACCAAAACACCCACAACUACCACAGAAACACCCACAACUACCACACAAGCACCCACAACUACCACACAAACUCCCACAACUACCACACCAACACCUACAACUACCACACCAACACCCGCAACCACCACUCUGCCACCCACAACUGCAUCAUCUCCAAACAUCUCAACUAGGAAGGUGGAAAAUUCAACGGCAAGUGAUGUAUCUAGAGUCCCAGUUGGACUGACUAUGAGGGUGUCCUCUGUGACCAAGCUAAAUGAAACCUACAUCAAGGAGGUGUUCUUGCAGCAGCUCCAGGAGGAAUUGAUCAGACGAGGGCUACCAGCAGACAUCACUGUCGGUCUGAGGAAGGUUCAAGCUCUCAGCCCCUGAGGGAAAGAGAACAUGGGUCUUGUCAACCCAAAUGUGGUCCCACUGAAGGAUAAUGAAGUUGGAUUAAAAAUAUAUUAUUGUUCACCAGCACUCAGGCAGGGGCGUAGCCACGUGGUGGCCAGUGGGGGCCACGGCCACCAUUGGUCAGAGAAUGGCCACCCUGCCGCCCCCCCCCCCCACCUCACAAAAAAGGGUUAGGGUUAGGUUUUUUAUUUUUAUUUUAUAGUCCCUGAGGGAGAGAGAAAAUGGGUCUUGUCAACCCAAAUGUGGUCCCACUGAAGGAUAAUGAAGUUGGAUUAAAAAUAUAUUAUUGUUCACCAUCAGUCACAUGCUCUUUAUGUGUCUUUAGUGCCACCUGGAGGAAAAAGAAGAUUUGAACGUUUUUGUGUUCUACUUUCGACUGUACAUAGUUGCAUGUUGAAGCUUUGUAUUUAAUGUUUGUAUAGAUAUGUUUAUGCAUAUCUGCGUGCUUAUUUUUGUGUCAGAGUGGCAGUAGGCAACCUCUUAGUAGCAUUGUUCUGCUACUCAAAUCAUGUGAUUUGUCAUAAUGCUAAAUGAUUAAAUCUAACCACAGAGACCUCAGUGAAGCAACCAUGGAGGCCACGAAAGAUGUAUUGCAAAAUAAAGUUGAAUCUGGGAAUCACUGUCUCGUCUUUCCACAAUACUCAUCUCAAACAGGUUCAUAACUGCUUUGUCAUGUGGAUCAUUGUUAUGUUCAAGGGAUUCUCGCCACAGGCAGUCAAUCGCUUGAUUGCAUUAAAGCCCAGUGACUUUUCAUAGCCAAGCUGAUAGAGAGAGAGAGGAAGCGAGAGAGAGAGAGAAAGA